This 496-nucleotide ribosomal RNA is filed under the name uncultured bacterium. RNAcentral's name for it is "bacterial SSU rRNA". It matches the Rfam family "Bacterial small subunit ribosomal RNA", at positions 1 to 522 of the family's 1533-position model. The record is from RNAcentral.
UAGAGUUUGAUCCUGGCUCAGAACGAACGCUGGCGGCAGGCCUCAAACAUGCAAGUCUAGGGGGUGCGGCAAUGCAUCACCGGCGGACGGGUGCGUAACGCGUGGGAAUAUACCUAUUGGUUCGGAACAACUGCGGGAAACUGCAGCUAAUACCGAAUGUGCCCUCACGGGGAAAGAUUUAUCGCCAAUGGAUUAGCCCGCGUCCGAUUAGCUUGUUGGUGGGGUAAUGGCCUACCAAGGCUUCGAUCGGUAGCUGGUCUGAGAGGAUGAUCAGCCACACUGGGACUGAGACACGGCCCAGACUCCUACGGGAGGCAGCAGUGGGGAAUUUUGGACAAUGGGGGCAACCCUGAUCCAGCCAUGCCGCGUGCGGGAAGAAGGCCUUCGGGUUGUAAACCGCUUUUAGUCGGGAAGAAAAGGCCGAGGUGAAUAGCCUUGGUUUUUGACGGUACCGGCGGAAUAAGCACCGGCUAACUACGUGCCAGCAGCCGCGGUA